Long non-coding RNA from Vespula vulgaris, 315 nucleotides. RefSeq lists it as uncharacterized. The record is from RefSeq and is a predicted model, not a curated record. Lineage: Eukaryota; Metazoa; Arthropoda; Insecta; Hymenoptera; Vespidae. The transcript is spliced from 3 exons.
UUUUGUGAAUUAAAUUCAGUGGUUAUUAAUUCGUUAAAAAAGAAUUAUCGCGCAUUAGAAUCAGUGCAUUAUCGAAGAGGAUCUCAAAAUACAGCGAUAUCAACUUAUACCUCGUUUUCAACUAUCUAUGGAUUAUACAACCUCAAUUUCAAUCUAAAUGGUGGACGAGUGUUUUGCAGCCAUCGCAGAACUUCUUAAACGACACGAGAGAGAUCGCAACCGUGAUAUUACUUUGGAAGAUCGAAAUUGGAAUGGAAGAAUUUUGUUCGACGAGAUAGAACGCACAUACUGAUCGCUGAUGAAUAGGAGGAUGUA